RNAcentral lists this long non-coding RNA (1152 nucleotides) under Malus domestica (apple). RNAcentral's name for it is "long non-coding RNA (MDOM_LNC017081)". Lineage: Eukaryota; Viridiplantae; Streptophyta; Magnoliopsida; Rosales; Rosaceae. The record is from RNAcentral.
ACAAGGAUGAGCUUCAAGGGUAAAGAAACUCUAAAUCUUUACUUCUCUUUAAUAUUGUUAAAGAGUUUAUUGGUUCACCAUAUACUAGGCUUUGAAAGUCAUGGGUUUUAUGAAUUGUUUUUUAAUGCAUGCCUACUUUAAAGUGUUAAUAGUUUGCAUAUGUAUUCAAAUGUUCUUACAUGUUCUUAGCUAGGACAAAAUUUUUCCUUCAAGUGAAUGGUGAACCAAGAGACUCUUUAACUACAUUAAAGAGAAGGAAGGAUUUAGAGAUUCAUUACCCUUGAAGCUCAUCCUUGUUUACACAAGGGAUUCACCCAAGUGGAGGGCCUUCAAGUCACCUCCUAGCUCCUUGGAUCUUCCUUGUGAUUUCCUUCCCUUUUUGUGCUCCUUUGCUCCUUGAGGAUGUGAGGAAAGGAUCUCCAAAACACCAAAGGUUUAGUGUCUCUAAGUCUCCACACCAAGGAUGAGGUGUGAAGAUGAAAUGGAUGACUUAGAGAAGAAAAGAUUGCUAGCUAAAUCCUCUCUAAGUGGCCGGCCUCCUUGUUGAGAAAAAGAGAGAAAGUGUUUCACCUCUUUGCCUCAAGAAAACCCUAAUGAGAAAAUAGCUAUAAAGUUAACUUUAUACUACAUCACAUUUGAGUGGCAAACUUGUAAUUAAUUUAAGUUUGCAUCCACUCUCCCUUAUGGCCGGCCUUGUCUUUGUUAUUGGGCUAAUUGCCCAUUUUGUUUUAGUUGUCAUACAACUUAAACAUAAUGGGCUUUGUGGACCAAAACACUUUUGGGCCCCGAAACCCAAAACCAACUUAAAAGCCCAAUACGAACCUUUCGUAAAAUUAAUCAACUAAUUAAUUAAUCUUGACCAUUUUCAAUUAAACCAUUUAAUUGCAUAUCCAUUUCAUUUAUAUUUCUUCACUUUCAUCCUUACUCGGUGUACGAUCCAUUAGGUUCCAAUUAGCGAGGCAGUGGGCGAUUGUUACUCUUGACGAUCGAUUAUGAAUUGAAACUACAUUUCAAUUCUCCCUUUGAUUAAGAUUAGUGUUUGCUAAUCUUCAGGGCUUCCACAAACCAUGAGUGACACCUAGCAGCAUGUCAUGGUUACCCAAGCUAAGUAGAAGUGGUUGGAGAACCUAUCCAGUUACAAUUACAAUGCAA